AGGCUUAUUGAUAACCAGACUAACCAAUAUCCAAAGAUUAUUUAGUCUGUAAGGUAGUAACCUCUAGCUGAGAAUAUCUAGCUGUGGACGUGAAAUCCUAUGAUGAUAUUGAACCCAAAAUUAAACCAAGUGCAAUACAAAUAUGAAUACCAUUUUUUUUUUAAAUAGUUAUUCAGAAAGCUGAAUCACACAAGUAUAAAAAAGAAUAUACUUCAAAAUUGGUUCUCUUUACUCCCUGUUGAUAAUCCAGAAACUUUAUUACAUUUUUGAUAUCACUAUCAGUCAUUAUACACGCCAAUUAUACCUAAGAUUCAAACUAUUCAAGACUCACUUACAGGACUUUAGCCACACCUUUAGCAAACAAAUAAAUAUAACCAACACCUCAAACAAGUUUAUCCUCUCAAUUUUUGUAGGAGAAGAGAACAUGCAAAGAGCGUCUCAAGAUCAUCUUAUUUCAACACAAAACACCCUUAGCAAACUAAGAGAAGAUGUUCUUCAAGACAUUUCACCAAACACAUAGUGUUCAAUCUCUGUAAUCACAGUAUGUCUACAAUGCCUCAUUUCAAUCAAGAACUCCAUGAAAUAAAAGUAACCAAUCACAGAAGAAAGCAGGAAGAAAAUCACAGUAGGUAUAGGGAAAAAAACCGUUAUCAUCAGCCAAACCAUAAGAAUCAACAAUAUAUAAUUGGAAUUAAAGAGAAAAGAUUCAGUAACACGGCAUUAAAGAAUAUAAUGGUCCGCCGUCGAGUAGGACAGCAGGAUACCUUUUCAAGCCAGGUCACAAAAGAAAUAUAACGUGAGAAAACUUAGUCAAAUAGAAACUCUAGGCAAGUGAAUAAACAAAUUGAAGAAGAUAGCCUAAUCAAGCAAACCAAAAUAUCUAAUUCCAUAACACUACAAACUCAUUGCAUUCGAAGAACAUAAAAAUUUUUGCAAAAGAAAAUCUUACUUACACGAGUUAUCAUAGAAAUCGGGGCUACGGUGUUUGAGUUAUGGAUGUUAUGCUGCCACUGGUUCUCCAGGUUGAAGAAUCGCAACCAGAUAGAUAGAGGAAGCUCGAAGAGAGCCACUGCUUGAGGCUACGGAGGCCAAGAGUCAGACGACAACAUUUCACCCGCUUGAAGAGAAUAGAAAGGGUGUACGGCUCUUUGCUUUUCUUUUCUGGGUUAAAAUUUAAACGUGCU
Molecule: long non-coding RNA, 1184 nt
Filed under: Carica papaya (papaya)
Lineage: Eukaryota; Viridiplantae; Streptophyta; Magnoliopsida; Brassicales; Caricaceae
Description: long non-coding RNA (CPAP_LNC012822)
Source: RNAcentral